Molecule: ribosomal RNA, 324 nt
Filed under: uncultured Chloroflexota bacterium
Lineage: Bacteria; Bacillati; Chloroflexota
Description: bacterial SSU rRNA
Rfam family: Bacterial small subunit ribosomal RNA
Source: RNAcentral
GAUAAACGCUGGCGGCGUGCAUUAGACAUGCAAGUCGAACGAACGACCUCGGGCUUGCUCGGGGAAGUUAGUGGCGAACGGCUGAGUAACGCGUAGGUGACCUGCCCAGAAGUGGGGAAUAACUGCCCGAAAGGGUGGCUAAUACCGCAUGUGGUCAUGGAUUCGGUUCCACGACCAAAGCCUUCGGGCGCUUCUGGAGGGGCCUGCGUUCGAUUAGCUCGUUGGUGAGGUAACGGCUCACCAAGGCGACGAUCGAUAGGUGGUCUGAGAGGAUGAUCACCCAGACUGGGACUGAGACACGGCCCAGACUCCUACGGGUGGCAG